AUGAGAAUGCCUAAUCCCAAGGAGGUGGAUCGUGCUUUGUUUGUAGAAUUUAUUAAGCUCAAAAAGUGUGGUGUGAGUGUCAAAUUCUCUCCCUGGUCGGAAGAUAUGGAUGCUGAGGGGCUACUUGAGGUGGCUUGGGUCAGAAUUGGGAAAAUCCCACCUAACAAACGCAAUGAUAAAACUGUGGCUUAUGUUGGAGGUCUUGUUGGGGUCACUCUAGAAGUUGACAUGUCCACUUUGAACCAUCCCACCUCUGUUAGGGCUAAAAUCGGCUGUAGAUUUGUGGAUCAGCUGCCUGCCACGGCCGAGGGGAUGUUAGGGGGACGCUUUUAUAAGUUCACUUAUGAGAUUGAAGAGGUUUUGGUGAGGAACCCUAUGGAGGAAGGCAAAGGGACUGCUAUGCAAAAUGACAAUGUUAACAAAACUGAUCAAACGCCCAAACACAAAAGGACUGAUCACGAACUGGCUGCUGAACAGCUAGAUGCCUCUAUUUCUGAAAAUCCUGGCACUUCUUUCCGUGGUGGCAAAACCUGUCGUUUGCUAUCACAGGGAAAUGAAGACUCAUCAUCGUCUGAGAGCGACGACAACUCCCUGCUGAUUGAAUCAAUGACCAGGGAUCAUGAAGAAGGUGCUCAGUAG
Molecule: ribosomal RNA, 639 nt
Filed under: Triticum aestivum (bread wheat)
Lineage: Eukaryota; Viridiplantae; Streptophyta; Magnoliopsida; Poales; Poaceae
Description: partial small subunit ribosomal RNA
Source: RNAcentral